This 257-nucleotide ribosomal RNA is filed under the name Candidatus Duodenibacillus intestinigallinarum. Its description in RNAcentral is "partial 23S ribosomal RNA". It matches the Rfam family "Bacterial large subunit ribosomal RNA", at positions 2673 to 2925 of the family's 2925-position model. Lineage: Bacteria; Pseudomonadati; Pseudomonadota; Betaproteobacteria; Burkholderiales; Sutterellaceae. The record is from RNAcentral.
UGCUCCUAGUACGAGAGGACCGGAGUGGACGGACCGCUGGUGUACCGGUUGUGAUGCCAAUCGCAUUGCCGGGUAGCUAUGUCCGGAAGAGAUAACCGCUGAAAGCAUCUAAGCGGGAAACUUGCCUGAAGAUAAGUCUUCCCGGAGGCUUGACCUCCCUGAAGAGUCGUUCGAGACCAGGACGUUGAUAGGUCGGGUGUGUAAGCGUUGUGAGACGUUUAGCUAACCGAUACUAAUUGCUCGUGAGGCUUGAUCCU